Molecule: ribosomal RNA, 378 nt
Filed under: uncultured eukaryote
Lineage: Eukaryota
Description: partial 18S ribosomal RNA
Rfam family: Eukaryotic small subunit ribosomal RNA
Source: RNAcentral
CAAUAGCGUAUAUUAAAGUUGUUGCAGUUAAAAAGCUCGUAGUCGGAUCUCGACCACAGCUGUGCGGUCCGCUGAGUGCGGCUACUGCACGGUUGGGUCUCUCAUCUGGUCUGUCCCAUGCUACUCUUCAGUGAGUGGCAUGGGUAGCCGGAACGUUUACUUUGAGAAAAUCAGCGUGCUCAAAGCAGGCUUACUGCUCGAAUAGUAGUGCAUGGAAUGAUAGAAUAGGACCUUCGGCCCUAUUUGUUGGUUUUUGGACCGAGGUAAUGGUUAAUAGAGACAGACGGGGGCAUUCGUACUGCGGUGUUAGAGGUGAAAUUCGAAGAUCGCCGCAAGACGAACAACAGCGAAAGCAUUUGCCAUGGAUGUUUUCAUUGA